CAGUCGCCGCGGUAAAACGGAGGAUCCAAGCGUUAUCCGGAUUUAUUGGGUUUAAAGGGUGCGUAGGCGGCUUUUUAAGUCAGGGGUGAAAGACGGUAGCUUAACUAUCGCAGUGCCCUUGAUACUGAAGAGCUUGAAUAUAGUUGAGGUAGGCGGAAUGUGACAAGUAGCGGUGAAAUGCAUAGAUAUGUCACAGAACACCAAUUGCGAAGGCAGCUUACUAAGCUAUGAUUGACGCUGAGGCACGAAAGCGUGGGGAUCAAACAGGAUUAGAGACCCCGGUAGUCCCUUCUCUUAUACA
RNAcentral lists this ribosomal RNA (301 nucleotides) under uncultured bacterium. Its description in RNAcentral is "partial 16S ribosomal RNA". It matches the Rfam family "Bacterial small subunit ribosomal RNA", at positions 509 to 809 of the family's 1533-position model. The record is from RNAcentral.